RNAcentral lists this small nucleolar RNA (131 nucleotides) under Castor canadensis (American beaver). RNAcentral describes it as "Small nucleolar RNA SNORA69 (ENSCCNG00000011984.1)". It matches the Rfam family "Small nucleolar RNA SNORA69". Rfam says of the family: U69 is a member of the H/ACA class of small nucleolar RNAs (snoRNAs) which act as guides in the the modification of uridines to pseudouridines. Lineage: Eukaryota; Metazoa; Chordata; Mammalia; Rodentia; Castoridae. The record is from Rfam by way of RNAcentral.
ACAGGUUGCCAUUAUAGCAUUGCAUUUUAUUUAUUAAAUAUCGUCAUUAUUGUACUGAAAUAAAAGCUAUGCUGAUCAUUUUUUAUUUUGCCUUUAGGAAGUUAAAAUCAUUACAAUUGACAUGCAGAAUU